RNAcentral lists this transfer RNA (73 nucleotides) under Camelus bactrianus (Bactrian camel). It matches the Rfam family "tRNA". From Rfam's summary of the family: Transfer RNA (tRNA) molecules are approximately 80 nucleotides in length. Their secondary structure includes four short double-helical elements and three loops (D, anti-codon, and T loops). Further hydrogen bonds mediate the characteristic L-shaped molecular structure. tRNAs have two regions of fundamental functional importance: the anti-codon, which is responsible for specific mRNA codon recognition, and the 3' end, to which the tRNAs corresponding amino acid is attached (by aminoacyl-tRNA synthetases). tRNAs cope with the degeneracy of the genetic code in two manners: having more than one tRNA (with a specific anti-codon) for a particular amino acid; and 'wobble' base-pairing, i.e. permitting non-standard base-pairing at the 3rd anti-codon position. Lineage: Eukaryota; Metazoa; Chordata; Mammalia; Artiodactyla; Camelidae. The record is from Rfam by way of RNAcentral. RNAcentral also lists the same sequence under 2 other names.
GAGGGUAUGGCUCAAGUGGUAGAGCACAUGCUUAGCAUGCAUGAGGUCCUGGGUUCAAUCCCCAGUACUUCCA